RNAcentral lists this ribosomal RNA (352 nucleotides) under uncultured bacterium. Its description in RNAcentral is "bacterial SSU rRNA". It matches the Rfam family "Bacterial small subunit ribosomal RNA", at positions 917 to 1271 of the family's 1533-position model. The record is from RNAcentral.
GGGCCCGCACAAGCGGUGGAGCAUGUGGUUUAAUUCGAUGCAACGCGAAGAACCUUACCAAGGCUUGACAUACUACAGAUUUCUUUGAAAAAAGGAAAGUGCCUUCGGGAAUGUAGAUACAGGUGGUGCAUGGCUGUCGUCAGCUCGUGUCGUGAGAUGUUGGGUUAAGUCCCGCAACGAGCGCAACCCUUAUUUUUAGUUGCUAAUUUAGUUAGGUUUUCUAGAAAGACUGCCGGUGACAAACCGGAGGAAGGUGAGGAUGACGUCAAGUCAGCAUGCCCCUUAUGCCUUGGGCUACACACGUGCUACAAUGGUUAAGACAAAGAGUUGCGAGCUCGUGAGAGUCAGCUAA